Molecule: long non-coding RNA, 3840 nt
Organism: Hylaeus volcanicus
Lineage: Eukaryota; Metazoa; Arthropoda; Insecta; Hymenoptera; Colletidae
Exons: 3
Source: RefSeq, a predicted model, not a curated record
AAAUUUUACAAAUUUUAAUAACUGUUUCUACGCGAAUCAACCCUUUGACUGCAGGAUGAUUUUUGUUGGAAACUCUAAGAGGCGUAGCGGUGUGAAUUUAAAAAAAAUACCACCUUAUAGGGGAUGAAAAGACGAAACUUAUUUGUAUUUACAUUUUGUUCAUAGGACCUUUAGUUUUCAAAAUAAAAAUUCAAAACUUAGAAGACCUUUCUCUCCUGAAUCCUAUUACAUUUGGAAUGGUGAAACUGAAAGUAUCGUUUGUUGACAAUUACUUAUUUGACGGAUUUGAAAAAAUACCACCUUAUAGGGGAUGAAAAGACGAAACUUAUUUGUAUUUACAGUUUGUUUAUAGGACGUUUAGUUUCUGAGAUAAAAAUUAGAAACUUAAAAGAUCUUUUUUUCACCGAAUUCGAUUACAUUUGCAAUAGUUAAAAUGAAAAUAUCAUUAGUUGACAAUAAUUUAUUUGAUGAAUAUGGAAAAAAUAUCAUCUUAUUGAGAAUGACAAAACGAAACUUUUUUGUAUUUACAGUUUGCUCAUACGACUUUUAGUUUCAGAGAUAAAAAUUCAAAACUUAGGAGACCUUUUUUCCCCCAGAAUUCUAUUACAUUUGCAAUGGUGAUACUGAAUCGUUAAUUGACAAUAAUUUAUUAUUUGAUGAAUUUUAAAAAAAAUAGCACAUUAUAGGGGAUGAUGAGACGAAACUUUUUUGUAUUCACAGUUUGUUCAUAGGACGUUUAGUUUCUGAGAUAAAAAUUGAAAACUUAAAAGACCUUUAUCCCUGAAAUUUAAUUUUCGCCAUGAAUUUUUAUCUUUUUAAUUUUUAUUUUCGAAACUAAACGCCCUAUGAAUUAAUUGUAAAUAGAAAAAAGUUCCGUCUCACCAUCCCCUAUAAGCUGAUAUUUUUUUUAAAUUGAUUUAACGAGCAUGAACAUUUUUCUACAUUGCUUAGUAUAAUAAGUACAUGGACCAAGAAACAUUAAAAAGAAUCGAAUUGCAAUUUAAUUAUUUUGUCGAAUUUCGAUUCACUCAAACUUCUCGUAAACAUUCUUAGCCUAGUUUCUUCACGUUUUGAGCGUGAUCGUGAGAUUCUAGUGAACUAUAUUUACGUAAGAACACGUGGAUAAAAAUUAUUCCUCCCGACUAAUUAAUCCUGAAUGUUGCAUAACAACAUGCAAUAUUGUAUAACCUGAAAGUAGCUGAACGAACUUCGUUACAUUUUCGAUGGGGAAAAUGAAUGCAUCGUUAGUUGACAAAUACUUAUUUGAUGAAUUUAAAAAAAAAUAGCACAUUAUAGGGGAUGAUGAGACGAAACUUUUUUGUAUUUACAGUUUGGUCAUACGACGUUUAGUUUCUGAGAUAAAAAUUAGAAACUUAAAAGAUCUUUUUUCCACCGAAUUCGAUUACAUUUGCAAUAGUUAAAAUGAAAAUAUCAUUAGUUGACAAUAAUUUAUUUGAUGAAUAUGAAAAAAAUAUCAUCUUAUAGAGAAUGACAAAACGAAACUUUUUUGUAUUUACAGUUUGUUCAUGCAACGUUUAGCUUUGGUGAUAAAAAUUCGUAUCGUGGAAGACCUUUUUCCCCUAAAUUAGGUUAUGUUUGCAAUAGUGAAAAUGAAAGUAUCAUUAGUGGACAAUAACUUGACGUUAAUUUGACGAAUUUGAAAAAAAUAUAACCUUAUAGAAGAAAUAAAAAUUCAAAACUUAGAAGACCUUUAACUGAUAGGCGAAGAAAACGAGAAGUAAGAUUAUGAUAAAUGAUUUAAAUUUCGGGAGAGGAACACGUGCUACAAGGAUUUCGUUAUGAUUGUUCCGAUGCGUUUCAAAUAGUAGCAUUAAGGAGAUAUUCUAGUCUAGAACUUUCAAAUAUGAAUAUAUUAAUUGAAAUAUAAAUUGUUGUCGAAAGAAUAAUUGUGAUACGUUACAUUUUUCAACUACCUGAAAAACAACUUUCAAGUAGAGAAAAUAGCUUUACAUUUACUGUGCUGAUAUCGGGUUGUCCAAAAAGUUUCUUCCAUUUCAUUAAUAAGUAAUACAUACAUUAUUGAAUUGCAUACGAUUCAUUUUUGCUUCGUUACAACAUUAACAUCUAAGAAAUUAGGUCGUCUAUUUACAUAAACACUGUCACACAAAAUAACUGGGUGCAAGUUGUGGAAGAAAUUUUUGGGACAGCCUAAUAUAUAAGAAAACAAUUAAGUUAAAAACUUGACACUUGUACAAGUGUCAAUCAUAUAUUGAUUAUUUUCACCUUCAACAAAUUCUAUACGUCUUUAACAUCUGAACAAAUAUGUGUGCGAAACCCUUUAUACAAAUUCCUUAUAGAUUAAGAAAAAGAAUCCUCAAAAAGGACUAAAAAUUUCCGCUCUAGACUAGAAUACCCCUUUUUUUUUUAUCCAGGAGCACCGACAUAUCUUCUGCAAGAAGAGAAACGAGACUAAUUUCAAUAAAUACUCUAUUAAACGCCAUUCAUGUAUUACAUAAUAAUCAUACAACAUAUUCGUAGCGCAUAAUGAUAUCAAUGACAAUUAAUACAAAGUAAACCGUAAACAAUAGCGUCUCAACUAAUAUUACAGGUGUACACCUUUCCCGUUCGACUUCGCACACGGAGGACUAUCGUUAAAGAGAGAGAGACGUCCUGACAGAAGGAAGGUAGAACGGAAAACGAGAUAAUAUGGCAUCCUAGGACUUCGUUUUAUCGUGUUCCGAAAAAAUAGCGGUUAUCCCCGUUCUCUAUUAGACUCUACACUACCGAUAUCGAGUCGAUCGAGCUCGUCCAAUCUCUUACUUUCUCGUUAAACAAAAUAUUUCCGCUAAGCGCUAGCGACUUUACAGGUUUCUCCAAGGUUGACACCCUUAACACGUUCAAUGCCUCUCACCCUAUAUUACAGGUAUGUCACGUAUCCAUAAGUUACAUUUACUAUCAACGUUAACUCCGAACCAGCGAAAUCAGAUUAACUCGACUGCAGAGGAAAGAAAAGAGCCGAGAGGGAGAGGAACUGACUUUUUAAUUAGCACAACGCUAGGUAUAAUGCAGAACUAACGCUGAUAGUAUGCAGCUUUUCUGCCAAAUGGUGUACAAGUAGACGCUGUAGAUGUUUAUACAAAUUAAUGUUUUCACAGAACAAAGAAUUUAACACGUUCACUGCCAGACUAAUAAUCAUCAACAUUUCUACGAGGCUAAAAUUGUUAUUUAUACAAUCAUAAGUGAUAUAAUUCAACAUUUGUGGUGGUACGUAUAUGUACAAUCUCUUUCAAAUUUACCAAUUCUAUCCGGAUUCAUUUUUGUAACACUCUACAUUCAGAUUGAACGCAUUUAAUUCCUCAGUGAAGAUCCUUGGGCAAAUAUGAGUAACGUAACAGUCAAUGCGUUAAAUCAAAGUACGUUUCAUCUUCCAAACGCUAUAACAUGUAUACUAUCUCUGACAUUUUAUAUAAUUUUACAUUUACAAGCAUUCUCAUACAUUUCCCUGUACUUCCAUCUGCCAUAAAUGCACAAACAUCCGCAGUCUACUUACAGACCAUAAAUUAUCCGGCUCCUAAAACUAUGUACCAUUAGCUUUAAUAAAUAGUACUAAUCAAAAAGUCAACGUCACGCUUGUUGAAGACUUCCCUCUCCCUGCAACAGGGAACUCUACGCGUUGGUCUCGCAAGACGUAUUGCUGUACAUGCUCUUAAUUCUAGGAUAACUGGUGGAACUGUACAUUUGGAAAUUAACCUAUCAUCGAUCACCGAUAAACGAUAAACCUCAGCGACGAUUCUACGUGAUCGCGUCGUUGCUCGAAGAUAGAUAGAAGAUCAUUGUGGUCUGGAGGAAUCUAGACACCCAACCGAACGCUAAGAAUAA